RNAcentral lists this ribosomal RNA (244 nucleotides) under uncultured Staphylococcus sp. RNAcentral's name for it is "partial 16S ribosomal RNA". It matches the Rfam family "Bacterial small subunit ribosomal RNA", at positions 96 to 334 of the family's 1533-position model. The record is from RNAcentral. Lineage: Bacteria; Bacillati; Bacillota; Bacilli; Caryophanales; Staphylococcaceae.
CGGCGGACGGGUGAGUAACACGUGGAUAACCUACCUAUAAGACUGGGAUAACUUCGGGAAACCGGAGCUAAUACCGGAUAAUAUAUUGAACCGCAUGGUUCAAUAGUGAAAGACGGUUUUGCUGUCACUUAUAGAUGGAUCCGCGCCGCAUUAGCUAGUUGGUAAGGUAACGGCUUACCAAGGCAACGAUGCGUAGCCGACCUGAGAGGGUGAUCGGCCACACUGGAACUGAGACGCGGUCCAG